UACGGAGGGUGCGAGCGUUGUCCGGAUUUAUUGGGUUUAAAGGGUGCGUAGGCGGCCCUGUAAGUCAGCGGUGAAAUCCCCCGGCUCAACCGGGGAACUGCCGUUGAUACUGCAGGGCUUGAGUACAGACGAGGUAGGCGGAAUUGACGGUGUAGCGGUGAAAUGCAUAGAUACCGUCAGGAACCCCGAUUGCGUAGGCAGCUUACUAGGCUGUUACUGACGCUGAGGCACGAAAGCGUGGGGAGCGAACAGG
Molecule: unclassified non-coding RNA, 253 nt
Filed under: uncultured Cytophagales bacterium
Lineage: Bacteria; Pseudomonadati; Bacteroidota; Sphingobacteriia; Sphingobacteriales
Description: contains 16S-23S intergenic spacer region
Rfam family: Bacterial small subunit ribosomal RNA
Source: RNAcentral